CGGACUGGACGGCGUGCCUAACACAUGCAAGUCGAACGGAGAAUACAUUUUGAAGCAAUUAGCUUGCUAAGAGUGGAAAUGUUGUAUCUUAGUGGCGGACGGGUGAGUAACGCGUGGAUAACCUGCCUCACACUGGGGGAUAACAGCGAGAAAUUGCUGCUAAUACCGCAUAAGCGCACAGCAUUGCAUGAUGCAGUGUGAAAAACUAAAGCGAUGUGAGAUGGAUCCGCGUCUGAUUAGCUAGUUGGUAGGGUAAGAGCCUACCAAGGCGACGAUCAGUAGCCGGCCUGAGAGGGUGAACGGCCACAUUGGGACUGAGACACGGCCCAAACUCCUACGGGAGGCAGCAGUGGGGGAUAUUGCACAAUGGGGGAAACCCUGAUGCAGCCGACGCCGCGUGAGUGAAGAAGUAUUUCGGUAUGUAUAGCUCUAUCAGCAGGGAAGAAAAUGACGGUACCUGACUAAGAAGCCCCGGCUAACUACGUGCCAGCAGCAGC
Molecule: ribosomal RNA, 497 nt
Filed under: uncultured bacterium
Lineage: Bacteria
Description: bacterial SSU rRNA
Rfam family: Bacterial small subunit ribosomal RNA
Source: RNAcentral